CCUACGGGUGGCAGCAGUGAGGAAUAUUGGUCAAUGGACGAGAGUCUGAACCAGCCAAGUAGCGUGAAGGAUGACUGCCCUAUGGGUUGUAAACUUCUUUUAUAUGGGAAUAAAAUGUUCCACGUGUGGGAUUUUGUAUGUACCAUAUGAAUAAGGAUCGGCUAACUCCGUGCCAGCAGCCGCGGUAAUACGGAGGAUCCGAGCGUUAUCCGGAUUUAUUGGGUUUAAAGGGAGCGUAGGUGGAUUGUUAAGUCAGUUGUGAAAGUGUGCGGCUCAACCGUAAAAUUGCAGUUGAAACUGGCAGUCUUGAGUACAGUAGAGGUGGGCGGAAUUCGUGGUGUAGCGGUGAAAUGCUUAGAUAGCACGAAGAACUCCGAUUGCGAAGGCAGUUCACUGGACUGCAACUGACACUGAGGCUCGAAAGUGUGGGUAUCAAACAGGAUUAGAUACCCUAGUAGUC
RNAcentral lists this ribosomal RNA (460 nucleotides) under uncultured bacterium. Its description in RNAcentral is "partial 16S ribosomal RNA". It matches the Rfam family "Bacterial small subunit ribosomal RNA", at positions 338 to 795 of the family's 1533-position model. The record is from RNAcentral.